GCACAACGCGAAGAACCUUACCCACCUUUGACAUGUACGGAAUCCUUUAGAGAUAGAGGAGUGCUCGAAAGAGAGCCGUAACACAGGUGCUGCAUGGCUGUCGUCAGCUCGUGUCGUGAGAUGUUGGGUUAAGUCCCGCAACGAGCGCAACCCUUGUCCUUAGUUGCCAGCAUUUAGUUGGGCACUCUAGGGAGACUGCCGUCGACAAGACGGAGGAAGGUGGGGAUGACGUCAAAUCAUCAUGCCCCUUAUGUCCUGGGCUACACACGUGCUACAAUGGUCGGUACAGAGGGUUGCCAAGCCGCGAGGUGGAGCUAAUCUCACAAAACCGAUCGUAGUCCGGAUCGCAGUCUGCAACUCGACUGCGUGAAGUCGGAAUCGCUAGUAAUCGCGAAUCAGAAUGUCGCGGUGAAUACGUUCCCGGGUCUUGUACACACCG
This 439-nucleotide ribosomal RNA is filed under the name uncultured bacterium. Its description in RNAcentral is "bacterial SSU rRNA". It matches the Rfam family "Bacterial small subunit ribosomal RNA", at positions 954 to 1392 of the family's 1533-position model. The record is from RNAcentral.